CCCCGGCGGCCCCUACCUGCAGUUCCUCAGCACCUCCAAGAGCAAGGCCAGCUUCUUCCUGUCCCACGACCAGCGCUUCUUCCUGAAGACCCAGGGGCGCCGAGAGGUGCAGGCUCUGCUCGCCCACCUGCCCCGCUACGUGCAGCACCUGCAGCGGCACCCGCACUCGCUGCUGGCGCGGUUGCUGGGAGUGCACAGUCUGCGGGUGGACCGGGGAAAGAAGACGUACUUCAUCGUCAUGCAGAGCGUCUUCUACCCCGCCGGCCGCAUCUCCGAGAGGUAUGACAUCAAAGGCUGCGAGGGUGAAGUUUAGAAGGGUGUCCCUGCUGCCCUCUGCCUGAGUUAUUAAGAGCCCAGAUUCGGCCGGGCGCCGUGGCUCACGCCUGUAAUUCCAGCACUUUGGGAGGCCGAGACAGGUGGAUUACGAGGUCAGGAGUUCAAGACCAGCCUGGCCAAGAUGCUGAAACUCUGUCUCUACGAAAAACACACAAAUUAGCCAGGCGUGGUGGUACCCGCCUAUAAUCCCAGCUACUCAGGAGGCUGAGGCAGGAGAAUCGCUUGAACCCAGGCGGCAGAGGUUGCAGUGAGCCGAGAUGGCGCCACUGCACUCCAGCCUGUGCGACAGAGCA
This 629-nucleotide long non-coding RNA is filed under the name Homo sapiens (human). Its description in RNAcentral is "non-protein coding lnc-DPM2-2:1". Lineage: Eukaryota; Metazoa; Chordata; Mammalia; Primates; Hominidae. The record is from RNAcentral.